CGGCGUGUGGCUCAGCAGCAGGGCACCGGGCUUUCUCCCGGAGGGCGCGGGUGCGAGUCCCGCCACGCCGGCCC
The sequence is a transfer RNA, 74 nucleotides long. It matches the Rfam family "tRNA". Rfam says of the family: Transfer RNA (tRNA) molecules are approximately 80 nucleotides in length. Their secondary structure includes four short double-helical elements and three loops (D, anti-codon, and T loops). Further hydrogen bonds mediate the characteristic L-shaped molecular structure. tRNAs have two regions of fundamental functional importance: the anti-codon, which is responsible for specific mRNA codon recognition, and the 3' end, to which the tRNAs corresponding amino acid is attached (by aminoacyl-tRNA synthetases). tRNAs cope with the degeneracy of the genetic code in two manners: having more than one tRNA (with a specific anti-codon) for a particular amino acid; and 'wobble' base-pairing, i.e. permitting non-standard base-pairing at the 3rd anti-codon position.